RNAcentral lists this ribosomal RNA (482 nucleotides) under uncultured bacterium. RNAcentral's name for it is "partial 16S ribosomal RNA". It matches the Rfam family "Bacterial small subunit ribosomal RNA", at positions 29 to 507 of the family's 1533-position model. The record is from RNAcentral.
AUUGAACGCUGGCGGCAUGCCUUACACAUGCAAGUCGAACGGUAACGGGCCUUCGGGUGCCGACGAGUGGCGAACGGGCGAGUAAUACAUCGGAACGUGCCCGACCGUGGGGGAUAACGAGGCGAAAGCUUUGCUAAUACCGCAAACGAUCUACGGAUGAAAUACGGGGACCGCAAGGGCUUGCGCGGACGGAGCGGCCGAUGGCAGAUUAGGUGGUUGGUGGGAUAAAAGCUUACCAAGGCGACGAUCUGUACCUGGACUGAGCGGGGGAUCAGCCACACUGGGACUGAGACACGGCCCAGACUCCUACGGGAGGCAGCAGUGGGGAAUUUUCGACAAUGGGCGCAAGCCUGAUCCAGCCAUGCCGCGUGCGGGAUGAAGGCCUUCGGGUUGUAAAGUGCUUUUGUACGGAACGAAAAGCCUUCUUGUAAUACAGGAGGGUCAUGACGGUACCGGAAGAAUAAGCACCGGCUAACUACGUG